AUUGAACGCUGGCGGCAGGCCUAACACAUGCAAGUCGAGCGGAUGAGAGGAGCUUGCUCCUCGAUUCAGCGGCGGACGGGUGAGUAAUGCCUAGGAAUCUGCCCAGUAGUGGGGGACAACGUUUCGAAAGGAACGCUAAUACCGCAUACGUCCUACGGGAGAAAGUGGGGGAUCUUCGGACCUCACGCUAUUGGAUGAGCCUAGGUCGGAUUAGCUAGGUGGUAGGGUAAAGGCCUACCAAGGCGACGAUCCGUAACUGGUCUGAGAGGAUGAGCAGUAACACUGGAACGGAGACACGGACUAGACUCCGACGGGAGGCAGCAGUGGGGAAUAUUGGACAAGGGGCGCAAGCCUGGUCCAGCCAUGCCGCGUGUGUGAAGAAGGCCCUCGGGUCGUAAAGCACUUUAAGUUGGGAGGAAGGGCUUACAGCGAAUACCUGUGAGUUUUGACGUUACCGACAGAAUAAGCACCGGCUAACUUCGUGCCGGCAGCCGCCGUAA
This 500-nucleotide ribosomal RNA is filed under the name uncultured bacterium. RNAcentral describes it as "partial 16S ribosomal RNA". It matches the Rfam family "Bacterial small subunit ribosomal RNA", at positions 30 to 523 of the family's 1533-position model. The record is from RNAcentral.